GACGAACGCUGGCGGCGUGCCUAAUACAUGCAAGUCGAACGGACUCUUAAUUUGCUUUUAUAGCAAAGCGCCCGCCUGAUGAGAGCGGACAUAUGAGUUUUUUCAAGUUGUAAAAUACUUGAAAACUACAUAUGUCUGCUAGGCAUCAGGCCUUAAGCAAGAGUUAGUGGCGGACGGGUGAGUAACACGUUAGUACCUGCCCUUUAGGUGGGAAUAACUCGGCGAAAGUCGAGCUAAUACCGCAUGUGAUCCUUCGGGAUGAAAGCCUUCGGGCGGCUAAAGGGAGGGGCUUGCGUCUAGAUUAGCUAGGUUGGUAGUGUAAUCGGACUACCAAGGCGAUGAUCAGUAGCUGGUUCGAGAGGAUGACCAGCCACAC
This 376-nucleotide ribosomal RNA is filed under the name uncultured bacterium. RNAcentral's name for it is "bacterial SSU rRNA". It matches the Rfam family "Bacterial small subunit ribosomal RNA", at positions 28 to 313 of the family's 1533-position model. The record is from RNAcentral.